This 538-nucleotide ribosomal RNA is filed under the name uncultured fungus. RNAcentral describes it as "eukaryotic LSU rRNA". It matches the Rfam family "Eukaryotic large subunit ribosomal RNA", at positions 84 to 636 of the family's 3401-position model. Lineage: Eukaryota; Fungi. The record is from RNAcentral.
UAACGGCGAGUGAAGCGGCAAAAGCUCAAAUUUGAAAUCUGGCCCCUCCGGGGUCCGAGUUGUAAUUUGCAGAGGAUGCUUGGGGUGCGGCUGCGGCGUAAGUUCCUUGGAACAGGACGUCGUAGAGGGUGAGAAUCCCGUCUGCAGUCGCUGGCGCGCGCCCGUAUCAAGCUCCUUCGACGAGUCGAGUUGUUUGGGAAUGCAGCUCUAAGUGGGUGGUAAAUUUCAUCUAAAGCUAAAUAUUGGCCGGAGACCGAUAGCGAACAAGUAGAGUGAUCGAAAGGUUAAAAGCACCUUGAAAAGAGAGUUAAACGGCACGUGAAAUUGUUGAAAGGGAAGCGCUUGCGGUCAGACUCGAGCCCGGGGGCUCAGCGGGUAUGCUUACCCGUGCACUCCCUCGGGCCCGGGCCAGCAUCGGUUCUGACGGCCGGUCAAAGGCCCCCGGAAUGUGUCGUCCUCCGGGACGUCUUAUAGCCGGGGGUGCAAUGCGGCCAGUUGGGACCGAGGAACGCGCUUCGGCACGGAUGCUGGCGUAAUG